UACGAAGGUGGCUAGCGUUGCUCGGAAUCACUGGGCGUAAAGGGUGCGUAGGCGGGGCUUUAAGUCAGGGGGGAAAUCCUGGAGCUCAACUCCAGAACUGCCUUUGAUACUGAAGAUCUUGAGUUCGGGAGAGGUGAGUGGAACUGCGAGUGUAGAGGUGAAAUUCGUAGAUAUUCGCAAGAACACCAGUGGCGAAGGCGGCUCACUGGCCCGAUACUGACGCUGAUGCACGAAAGCGUGGGGAGCAAACAGG
Molecule: ribosomal RNA, 253 nt
Filed under: uncultured bacterium
Lineage: Bacteria
Description: partial 16S ribosomal RNA
Rfam family: Bacterial small subunit ribosomal RNA
Source: RNAcentral